GUCAGAAUGGCCGAGUAGUCUAAGGCGCCAGACUCAAGUUCUGGUCCACGAAUGUGGGCGUGGGUUCGAAUCCCACUUCUGACA
RNAcentral lists this transfer RNA (84 nucleotides) under Rhipicephalus sanguineus (brown dog tick). RNAcentral's name for it is "transfer RNA leucine (anticodon CAA)". It matches the Rfam family "tRNA". From Rfam's summary of the family: Transfer RNA (tRNA) molecules are approximately 80 nucleotides in length. Their secondary structure includes four short double-helical elements and three loops (D, anti-codon, and T loops). Lineage: Eukaryota; Metazoa; Arthropoda; Arachnida; Ixodida; Ixodidae. The record is from RNAcentral.